UACGAAGGGGGCUAGCGUUGCUCGGAAUCACUGGGCGUAAAGCGCACGUAGGCGGACUACUAAGUCAGGGGUGAAAUCCCGGGGCUCAACCCCGGAACUGCCUUUGAUACUGAUAGUCUCGAGUCCGGAAGAGGUGAGUGGAAUUCCGAGUGUAGAGGUGAAAUUCGUAGAUAUUCGGAGGAACACCAGUGGCGAAGGCGGCUCACUGGUCCGGUACUGACGCUGAGGUGCGAAAGCGUGGGGAGCAAACAGG
RNAcentral lists this ribosomal RNA (253 nucleotides) under uncultured bacterium. Its description in RNAcentral is "partial 16S ribosomal RNA". It matches the Rfam family "Bacterial small subunit ribosomal RNA", at positions 524 to 776 of the family's 1533-position model. The record is from RNAcentral.